CAUUUUCCCCGCAGGGGGAGGAUGAGAACCGACAGAGGUUCGACAAAACCGCGGCAGCGGUUUUGAACGCUGCGCAGGGCGCAGCGGCCCGGAGGGCGGAGGACCGAAGGUCCGGAGUAAUCCUCCCCCCUCCACCA
RNAcentral lists this small RNA (137 nucleotides) under Gammaproteobacteria bacterium. RNAcentral describes it as "RtT sRNA". It matches the Rfam family "RtT RNA". From Rfam's summary of the family: This family represents a bacterial cis-regulatory element known as RtT RNA. The exact function of RtT is unknown although it is thought that it may be involved in changing the cellular response in relation to amino acid starvation. The record is from RNAcentral. Lineage: Bacteria; Pseudomonadati; Pseudomonadota; Gammaproteobacteria.